This 434-nucleotide ribosomal RNA is filed under the name uncultured Oscillospiraceae bacterium. RNAcentral's name for it is "bacterial SSU rRNA". It matches the Rfam family "Bacterial small subunit ribosomal RNA", at positions 341 to 792 of the family's 1533-position model. The record is from RNAcentral. Lineage: Bacteria; Bacillati; Bacillota; Clostridia; Eubacteriales; Oscillospiraceae.
ACGGAAGGCAGCAGUGGGGAAUAUUGCACAAUGGGGGAAACCCUGAUGCAGCGAUGCCGCGUGGAGGAAGAAGGUUUUCGGAUUGUAAACUCCUGUCUUAAAGGACGAUAAUGACGGUACUUUAGGAGGAAGCUCCGGCUAACUACGUGCCAGCAGCCGCGGUAAUACGUAGGGAGCGAGCGUUGUCCGGAAUUACUGGGUGUAAAGGGAGCGCAGGCGGGACAGCAAGUUGGAUGUGAAAUACCGAGGCUUAACCACGGAGCUGCAUCCAAAACUGUUGUUCUUGAGUGAAGUAGAGGUAGGCGGAAUUCCGAGUGUAGCGGUGAAAUGCGUAGAUAUUCGGAGGAACACCAGUGGCGAAGGCGGCCUACUGGGCUUUAACUGACGCUGAGGCUCGAAAGUGUGGGGAGCAAACAGGAUUAGAUACCCUGGUA